RNAcentral lists this ribosomal RNA (454 nucleotides) under Burkholderiaceae bacterium Ellin7206. RNAcentral describes it as "bacterial SSU rRNA". It matches the Rfam family "Bacterial small subunit ribosomal RNA", at positions 29 to 477 of the family's 1533-position model. Lineage: Bacteria; Pseudomonadati; Pseudomonadota; Betaproteobacteria; Burkholderiales; Burkholderiaceae. The record is from RNAcentral.
AUUGAACGCUGGCGGCAUGCCUUACACAUGCAAGUCGAACGGCAGCACGGGGGCAACCCUGGUGGCGAGUGGCGAACGGGUGAGUAAUACAUCGGAACGUGUCCUGGAGUGGGGGAUAGCCCGGCGAAAGCCGGAUUAAUACCGCAUACGCUCUAUGGAGGAAAGCGGGGGAUCUUCGGACCUCGCGCUCAAGGGGCGGCCGAUGGCGGAUUAGCUAGUUGGUAGGGUAAAGGCCUACCAAGGCGACGAUCCGUAGCUGGUCUGAGAGGACGACCAGCCACACUGGGACUGAGACACGGCCCAGACUCCUACGGGAGGCAGCAGUGGGGAAUUUUGGACAAUGGGGGCAACCCUGAUCCAGCAAUGCCGCGUGUGUGAAGAAGGCCUUCGGGUUGUAAAGCACUUUUGUCCGGAAAGAAAUCCUCUGGGUUAAUACCUCGGGGGGAUGACGGUA